This 402-nucleotide ribosomal RNA is filed under the name uncultured bacterium. RNAcentral describes it as "bacterial SSU rRNA". It matches the Rfam family "Bacterial small subunit ribosomal RNA", at positions 29 to 419 of the family's 1533-position model. The record is from RNAcentral.
AAUCAACGCUGGCGGCGUGCCUAACACAUGCAAGUCGAGCGGGAUCCAACCGGUGGCAACACCGGGAGAUCUAGCGGCGAACGGGUGAGUAACACGUGAGCAACCUGCCCCGAACGACUGGGAGUAACACCGGGAAACCGGGUAGCUAAUACCGGAUGUCGUCAUUAGGCCGCAUGACCUGAUGAUGAAAGGAAUUCAUCGCUUCGGGAGGGGCUCGCGGCUAUCAGCUUGUUGGUGGGGUAACGGCCUACCAAGGCGACGACGGCUAGCUGGUCUGAGAGGACGACCAGCCACACUGGGACUGAGACACGGCCCAGACUCCUACGGGAGGCAGCAGUGGGGAAUCUUGCGCAAUGGGCGAAAGCCUGACGCAGCAACGCCGCGUGGGGGAUGAAUGCCUUC